RNAcentral lists this ribosomal RNA (253 nucleotides) under uncultured bacterium. RNAcentral's name for it is "partial 16S ribosomal RNA". It matches the Rfam family "Bacterial small subunit ribosomal RNA", at positions 524 to 776 of the family's 1533-position model. The record is from RNAcentral.
UACGAAGGGUGCAAGCGUUACUCGGAAUUACUGGGCGUAAAGCGUGCGUAGGUGGUUUAUUAAGUCUGAUGUGAAAGCCCUGGGCUCAACCUGGGAAUUGCAUUGGAUACUGGCAGGCUAGAGUGCGGUAGAGGAUGGCGGAAUUCCCGGUGUAGCAGUGAAAUGCGUAGAGAUCGGGAGGAACAUCUGUGGCGAAGGCGGCCAUCUGGACCAGCACUGACACUGAGGCACGAAAGCGUGGGGAGCAAACGGG